UCACGGUUUGCACCGGCAGUUUCCUUAGAGUCCCCGACAUUACUCGCUGGCAACUAAGGAUAGGGGUUGCGCUCGUUAUGGGACUUAACCCGACACCUCACAGCACGAGCUGACGACAACCAUGCAGCACCUUGUAGAUUGCCCGAAGGAGGACUGGUUUCCCAGCCUGUCAAUCUACAUUCAAGCCCAGGUAAGGUUCCUCGCGUAUCAUCGAAUUAAACCACAUGCUCCACCGCUUGUGCGGGCCCCCGUCAAUUCCUUUGAGUUUCAAUCUUGCGACCGUACUCCCCAGGUGGAUUACUUAUCGCUUUCGCUUAGGCACUAACAGUAUAUCGCUAGCACCGAGUAAUCAUCGUUUACGGCGUGGACUAC
RNAcentral lists this unclassified non-coding RNA (372 nucleotides) under uncultured Cryomorphaceae bacterium. RNAcentral's name for it is "contains 16S-23S intergenic spacer region". The record is from RNAcentral. Lineage: Bacteria; Pseudomonadati; Bacteroidota; Flavobacteriia; Flavobacteriales; Cryomorphaceae.